This 320-nucleotide ribosomal RNA is filed under the name Sandonidae sp. RNAcentral describes it as "SSU rRNA". The stretch from base 113 to 320 matches the Rfam family "Eukaryotic small subunit ribosomal RNA", at positions 745 to 955 of the family's 1831-position model. The record is from RNAcentral. Lineage: Eukaryota; Cercozoa; Glissomonadida; Sandonidae.
GAUUUCUGGCUUGAAACAUUUAGCCGGCCACGGUUUCGUGUGUUAGUGCUUGAUGUUCUGGCCAUCCUUCCAAUUGCUAUUCAUCUUUCUUCAUUGAUGGGUGAGUGGUAUUGGAUCUUUUACUUUGAAAAAAUUAGAGUGUUUAAAGCAGGUUUGCGCCUUGAAUACAUUAGCAUGGAAUAAUAAUUUAGGACUUCUGCCUAUUUUAUUGGUUUCUAGGUUUGGAGUAAUGAUUGAUAGGGAUAGUUGGGGGUGCUAGUAUUCAUCGGCCAGAGGUGAAAUUCUUGGAUUCGAUGAAGACUAACUAAUGCGAAAGCAUU